RNAcentral lists this ribosomal RNA (505 nucleotides) under uncultured bacterium. Its description in RNAcentral is "partial 16S ribosomal RNA". It matches the Rfam family "Bacterial small subunit ribosomal RNA", at positions 28 to 507 of the family's 1533-position model. The record is from RNAcentral.
GACGAACGCUGGCGGCGUGCCUAAUACAUGCAAGUAGAACGCACAGUUUAUACCGUAGCUUGCUACACCAUAAACUGUGAGUUGCGAACGGGUGGGUAACGCGUAGGUAACCUGCCUGGUAGCGGGGGAUAACUAUUGGAAACGAUAGCUAAUACCGCAUAAUAUUGAUUAUUGCAUGAUAAUUGAUUGAAAGAUGCUAUUGCAUCACUACCAGAUGGACCUGCGUUGUAUUAGCUAGUAGGUGAGGUAGCGGCUCACCUAGGCGACGAUACAUAGCCGACCUGAGAGGGUGAUCGGCCACACUGGGACUGAGACACGGCCCAGACUCCUACGGGAGGCAGCAGUAGGGAAUCUUCGGCAAUGGACGAAAGUCUGACCGAGCAACGCCGCGUGAGUGAAGAAGGUUUUCGGAUCGUAAAGCUCUGUUGUAAGAGAAGAACGGGUGUGAGAGUGGAAAGUUCACACUGUGACGGUAUCUGACCAGAAAGGGACGGCUAACUACGUG